CGGCCGCGGGGCGGGACAACUUUGAAUGCCUCUGGGACACUUGGAUUUCUCAUCCGCAAUAUGGGGCACAGAAAUGGGUUUGGAGCGAGUGUUCAGCUGUCACUACCCGGACAGAAGUGACAACUUCAAAUUUCCUUGUCUGUGGUUGUUUGGAGACCCAGGCAAAAGGGACCUGGGUCGGUCUAUCAUGGCCAAGCAAGGAAUGUUCAAUUUGUGGCGGGAGAUCGGGAUAAGUGAGGCGAGAAAUACAGGAUGCAGAAAUCUUACAUCUAAGAUCCCGUCUUGAGUGACUGGUGUGUUUUUGUUUGUUCCAACAGUGUUUCCAUUCACUGUAGAAAGAAACACAAGCGAUUGGCGGAGGACGAUGAGUGUCCAGUAAGAAAGAAGCGCUUGACUGAAGCAGAACUUGGUGCAGUUGCCGAUGAGUGGGUUCUUGGCACACAUC
Molecule: long non-coding RNA, 445 nt
Filed under: Rattus norvegicus (Norway rat)
Lineage: Eukaryota; Metazoa; Chordata; Mammalia; Rodentia; Muridae
Description: long non-coding RNA NONRATT010114
Source: RNAcentral